RNAcentral lists this ribosomal RNA (494 nucleotides) under uncultured bacterium. RNAcentral describes it as "partial 16S ribosomal RNA". It matches the Rfam family "Bacterial small subunit ribosomal RNA", at positions 28 to 507 of the family's 1533-position model. The record is from RNAcentral.
GACGAACGCUGGCGGCGUGCUUAACACAUGCAAGUCGAACGGAAAGGCCUGCUUUCCCUUGUGGAUUGCGGGUACUCGAGUGGCGAACGGGUGAGUAACACGUGAGUGAUCUGCCCCCAACUUGGGUAUAAGCCUGGGAAACUGGGUCUAAUUCCCGAUAGGACUGCAGGGUGGUGCCUGUGGUGGAAAACGAUUUUCUAGUGGUUGGGGAUGAGCUCGCGGCCUAUCAGCUUGUUGGUGGGGUAAUGGCCUACCAAGGCGGCGACGGGUAGCCGGCCUGAGAGGGUGGACGGCCACAUUGGGACUGAGAUACGGCCCAGACUCCUACGGGAGGCAGCAGUGGGGAAGAGUGCACAAUGGGCGGAAGCCUGAUGCAGCGACGCCGCGUGGGGGAUGACGGGCUUCGGGUUGUAAACUCCUUUCGACCGCGAGGAAGCCACCUGGUUGGAAGGGUGGUGACGGUAGUGGUAGAAGAAGCACCGGCUAACUACGUG